Molecule: ribosomal RNA, 390 nt
Filed under: uncultured soil bacterium
Lineage: Bacteria
Description: bacterial SSU rRNA
Rfam family: Bacterial small subunit ribosomal RNA
Source: RNAcentral
UCCUACGGGAGGCAGCAGUGGGGAAUAUUGGACAAUGGGCGAAAGCCUGAUCCAGCAAUGCCGCGUGAGUGAUGAAGGCCUUAGGGUUGUAAAGCUCUUUUACCGGGAUGAUAAUGACAGUACCGGGAGAAUAAGCCCCGGCUAACUCCGUGCCAGCAGCCGCGGUAAUACGGAGGGGGCUAGCGUUGUUCGGAAUUACUGGGCGUAAAGCGCACGUAGGCGGCUUUGUAAGUUAGAGGUGAAAGCCCGGGGCUCAACUCCGGAAUUGCCUUUAAGACUGCAUCGCUAGAAUUGUGGAGAGGUAAGUGGAAUUCCGAGUGUAGAGGUGAAAUUCGUAGAUAUUCGGAAGAACACCAGUGGCGAAGGCGACUUACUGGACACAUAUUGACG